UUUUUUCCUAUUAGUAUUUUUACUAUUAUUGUUGAUUAUUAAUGUUCUAAUUUAUAUGUCCUUAAAUUUUAUGUUCUUAUAUUCCAUUGUGUGUUUGUCAAGUUUCUGAUGUAUUAGUCUUUUUUAGUUUUGGUCACUGUAAGUAUCUUGUAUGCUUGUUUUCGUGUGUUGGCCAAAUGUGGAUGUGCCUACCUUUUGUGGUUUCAACUCAGGUAGAGCUUGCCUACUUUGAUGCUGACGAGAAGGAAUGUCCAUGUACUUGCAGUUACCUCUUGUUCCUGUUUUCGUUUUUUUUUAUGUUUGUAUGUGUCAUGGCGACCGCUAAAGACCUAGGCUCUUGGUAAGCAUGUUACAAACCAAAAUAAAUAAAAAUAGUAAAUUCCGUUUAUUUUUAAAGGCUUUACCGUGUUUUACCUAAUGCAAUUUUUUUCUAUCAAUAUGCCAUAAUUAGUACAAUUGUACUAUCCCGAGCAGCUGGGACGAUGCAUAUAGUUCAUCCUUGCUUGAAGGUAGUGUGGGGGUGUGAUAAUUAAGUGCAAAAACACAAUACGACAAUUUAUGCUGGUAGUGAAGUCGUUUUAUUGACAGUUCUCGUACAACUUCACUUAAAUACACUGUAGGGGAGGCCGGGGUAUUAAGAGACAGGGGUUAUAAGAGACAAGGGCAAAAUGUCACCUUAAAUAUCAAUAAAAAUAAGUUUAAAAAUAUGAAAAAAUUACUUGAACAUCUUUAAUUUAUUAUUACUUACCUGCUUGGUAAUUAUUGUGUUGAUUUUUACUUCAUCAAUGACAUGAAAAAAAAUGUUUACUUUAAACUUAACUUAAAAGUUCGCAACUAUUUUACAAAAAAAAAAAAAAUUGUGUAAAUUUCGUAAGAUUUUUGGAAGUGAUAUGUACAUAGCUUUUUGACUGAGAUUGUGACAUUUGAUAUAGAAUUUUUGAAGUUAUUCAAAACCUUCUUAUUUUGCUAAUUCUGGGCAUGUCUCUUAUAACCCCAAUUUAAGAUUUAGUAGGGGUAAUAAUAGACACUGGUGUCUUAUUACCCCGUCAGAAUUAUUUUCUUUUGUUUAAGGUCUGUUUAUUAGAAAACUAAGUGAACUAACAAUGUAAAAGUGAAAAAAGUGACAACAGUGAAAAGACAAUUUACACAAUGCCAAGACAUUAUAAAAUGAAAAACAUUCAGUGUCAGUUUGACCCUAAGGACAUGAAAAAAGCAAUUUUAGAAGUAAAGAAAGGAGUGCCAAUAAGAGCAGCAGCAGAAAAUUUAAUGUUCCUGUGUCAACUUUAGGCAAACAUUAUAAGAACCAUGAAAAAAAAAUUGGAGGCGGGCGUAAACAAGAAAUCUCAGAAGAUGAAGAAGCAGAUAUGGCAAAAUAUUUAGAAGUGUGUGCAGUUCAUGGGGAAGGGUUAACUAGAAGUGAAACAUUGGAGUUAGUGAAAGAAUAUGUUGAGCACAGCAAAUUGAAUACCAGAUGGCACAACAGUAAACCAUCUUAUGACUGGCUCAAUUUAUUUUUCAAAAGACAUCCUCACCUGAGAAUCAGAAAAGGUAAACAGUUGAGCAACCAACGUGUAAGAGGAGCAGACCCUUUUGUAGUGAAUGAAUGGCUUCUACCAAGAUGUCCAGAAACUGUACGCAAAAGAAAAAAUAACAGAAGCAGACGUAGUUAUGUUUACAAUUGUGAUGAGACCGCAUUUUUACACGAUCCCAGCGAAGUUCGCGUCAUAGCUAAGAAAGGUACGAAAAGAGUUUCGAAGCAUAUAGCAGGAUCAGGCAAAUCAAACACCACUGUACUAGCAUGUUGAGCAGCAGAUGGCACAAAGAUGCCACCAUUCAUAAUCUUCUCGGGAAGGUAUGUAUGGAGUACCUGGAUUCCAAAUGAUGACUAUCCAGGCACAGCAUAUACAGCCCAAAAAAAAAAAAAAAGAAUUGAUGGAGGGCUCCAUUUUCGCAAAUUGGUUUUCCGAAUUGUUUCUGAAGCACAUCCCUUCAAAGGAACAUCACAAUGGCAAGAAAGUAAUCCUUUACUUUGAUGGUGUUGCAUUUCAUGUGAGUUAUUCUCUCAUUAAAAUGGCUUAUGACAAUGAUGUGAUCUUGAUUAAACUCCCACCUAACAUGACACAUUUCAUGCAGCCAUUAGAUUUGACAGUAUUUAAACCCCUGAAAGGAGCUUGGAAUACUCUGAUGGUGCAGUGGAACAGACUUCACCCUGGCACUCUGCUACCCAAAGAAGAGUUUUCCAGAAACAUUAAGAGACUGUGGGACGAACAUUUCCCACCUAGACUUUUGAUUUUUGGAUUUCUUAAUACUGGGCUCUUUUCUACAGACGCAAGCAAAUUUCCUGAGGAGGCCUAUAACCCCAUAAAACUUCAGAGAUUCAAUGUGAUUGAAAAAGCUAAGGCUUCACGAGUUUUACCAAAGACAUCUCCCAGUGCACCUAGACCUCCGCCUGUUUCAACUUCUGUUUUGCCUACGCACAAAUCUACAGUGGAAACUGCAAGUACUCCUUGGCCUGCUUCUCAAAAUGGACCUUCAGCAAAUUCAGAUGUGUCUGAAGCUCUCCAUACUUCAACUGUCCUUGAUUCUGCUAAACAAGAAAGAGAAACAGACAACAUAGAUGAGAUUUUGGCUUCUCCACUUUCAGAAGAAGGUCAACCAGGGUGUUCGUCAUGGUCAGCAGAAGAUCGUGUGCAACAUCAAACCAAAUUUGAGAGUUUCAUUCAGUACAAACUUACUGAAAACAUAAUGAAAUCCACACCGAAAGUAGGCCUAACAGGAAAGAGGAAGAAAGUUUCAGAACAAAAGGGUGAAAUCCUGACAUCAGUGAAGGUCAUGGAAAGGAUUAGAAAGUCUGAGGAAAAUCAAAAUAAAAAGAAUGAGAAGACAGAAAGGAAGAAAUUGGGAAAAAAGCAAGAAAAUGACAAGUCAAAGGCUAAGGUUACAGUACGCAAGAAAUCAGUUAGGCCUAAACGGAAAUCUGCAAAUUCAUCCUCUGAUUCUGAACUUAGUGAUGAUUUACCUAUUGAAACGGAUGAAGACUAGCCAUUACGCCUUGAAGAAUUAUUUUCUUCAUCGGACGACAAUGUGCCUGAAGAAUUUCAUCCAAGUAGUGUUGUUCCUAGACUAGAACUGUACUAUGCUGUGUACUACUAUUUGAACUGGUACAUUGGGUGAGUUAUUGACUUUCCAGAUGAAGGACUUUGUAAGGUUAAGUUCUUGAAAAAAGAACUUAAUGAAUUUAAUUGGCCUCCUCAUGAUGAUAUACAAACAAUAACAUCUAAAUACAUGUUCUACGGACCCAUAAAUUUAAAGGGGAAUGGUCCUUCCCAGGUUACUUGAGGGGAGUUACAAAAAAUGUGUUUGGUGUACAGCAAACUCAAUAAAAGUUUCAAAAAGUAAGCUCAAACUAGGCCUGGGAAACUUAGUGCAAAGUUUUUUAAAAAAGGCAGACUAUUAAUUUUAUAAGCCUAAAUUUUCUAUUGCUAGGUCCUAUCUUUUAAUAUGACUUUCAUUUGACUUAUCAAGUUACAUUAGGCCUAUUAGGCAUGCAGUAUACAGAAUCUUUUUAUUGUAAACUAAGCUAAGUUUAGGUUACAAAAGAGUUUACAAUCUUUUUAGAUGUUUGUUUACUCUUUACUUAUCAUUGACACUAUAAUAGUUAACUGUAAGGUACAAAAUAAUUUUUCAAAUAAAACUGUUCUGUAUUUCAAUGACAAAAUGCCCUAUUUUUAGUAUGUUUUUGGAAUUGUCACAAAAAAUAAAUAUCGAAAGUACUUUUGAUUUUCAUUUGAUAAGCUUAUGUAUUGAUUCUGUACAUUCCUUUGAACCUUUAAAAUGGGGGUUAUUGCUUGUUUGCUAUUUGUUAUUAGCAAAAAUGAAUUUUAGAAACCAUCUUUCAGAAAGCAUUUUUCAUUCUAAUGUAGUUUGAGAACCAGCACAUAUAUUUUUUAUUUCAAAAAAUUGGGAGCUUUAGAAUUUUCUGAAUAUGUCUCUUAUAUCCCCCAAUCAUUUUAUACAGUGUUUCUGUGGACAGUGAAAGGUAUGUCUCUUAUUCCCCCUGAUAGGGUAAUAAGAGACACAGAUUUUAUAAAUUUUCAAAAAAAUAAUUUCACAUUAAAUUGUUAAUGGAAAAAUUUCAAAAUAAUUGAGAAAGAUUCACUUAGUUUGUUGAGUAUGACAUAAUUUUAUCGAAGACAUAGAUUAGAAAUAAAUCUAAUAUAAUUUUUUUUUGUCUCUUAUUACCCCUUGUCUCUCUUUUUACCCCGGCCUCCCCUACGUUUAGACACGGACUUGUACAGACAAACAGUUCCACAGCGUACAGAUGUCGCACACUGCCUGGGAUGCAUUACAGCGAUUCCCCUAAGUCCACGUGACUUCCGGAGAGCACCAUUAAUGAGCUGUCUUACCACGAUGCUCCAAGAGGUGCUUAUUAGCCAUGGGAUGUUUUACCACAAUCCCCCUAGUGGCUACUGCUCCCGGCUCUGCCGGGAGAACUCCCGCAACUGGCCGAGGAGAUCUCUUAUAUAGGCGGCACAGGAGUGCCCCUUGUCCUUACUUGAGGGCCGUGUGCAACGCUUCCCAGGGUUCGUGUGCAACGACUCCCACCAAGAUCCACUCGUCCUUCCCCUGCCUCGUGAGGGGGUUUGACCCUUGUCCUCCGCAGUGCUGUGUGCUCUCUUUAAAAACUCUUAUGGAGGUAUAGUCUGAUAUUUCAAUCUACAUUACAAGAUACAUUACAAUCAUUACAAGAUACAUUACAAUACAUUACAAGAUACACUCUGAUAUUACACAAUGAGUAAAUAUUUUAAAGUACUUAGUACUUAUUUGGCUAUUUAUUUCAUUAGUGUAAUUUUAAAUAGCUGUUAUAUACAUAUACCCAGGUCAUUAGCACAUUAAAAGUUUUUUUUUGUUUAAGAAAAGUUUGAAAGAAUAAAUAAAACAAGAUAAUAAAUUGAAUUUCAGUGUCAUAUUAGCUUGAAAUCCCUUAAGGUCCAUUAUUAUUUUCUUGAUUUAUAUUUUGCUCUCUAUUGUGUAACUUACUUUUUGAUUAAUAACCUCUUGAGACUGGCAGUGAAGUUUUGGGCGAUUUUGGAUUUAAUUCUUGAUAGUUUUAAAUUUGUUACCGGGAAUUGUGUUUGCCGCCCAGUGAAUGUCAGGGACAUGGGUACUUGUUGUGAAGCACACAAGAUCCUACACCAUUGAGAUAAAAUUGGUGCUGGUGUAAUUUUGCUGCCCGCAACAUUUUUACGUCCUUCCCAACUUUGAAUUCUGUUAACUUCUAAGUGCUUAUCACCUGCCAUACAUCGAAGCAUUUCCAGUUCCCUAACUACCAGAGGAAGAGGUCCUGCGUCAGUCAUGUGAUCAGUAAGUAGUUGCGGUGCGAGGCUGUUCGCGAUCCCUCCACCUCUCUGGCCGCUCGGUGCGUUAUCGUUCCUGUUCGUUCUGGGCGCCGAGCUGCUAGGUUCCUCCAAGACCACAGCUAGUAGAAGCGGAGAAUCAGUGAAGCACAGAAGAACGUUACGUCACCGCCUUGACUGCUGUUGUCCUCCAUGCCGCCAUGCUGCCUGAAUCCGCAAUGAUGCCCAAUGCUGGACUUAGCUGCAGAUUGGGGUAAGAGAGAUUGUACCUAUUAAUGAGUUUGGACUUAGCACCAGCGGCCGUGAGGAAGGAAGUGAGUGCUGCAGUGUACGAAGGUAACUCGCUCAACGACUGAUUUACUUAACUCGCCCUGUGAGUUGGUACCCGCUGAACGAGUAAGUUGCAAAAACUCACUGAAUGAUUUUGGGUACAGUAUGUGGUCAAAAUAGCACCUGGUACUUAAUAGACUCGUUGACGAUGUGACACCUUUUACUUGCCGAGUGUGUAGUGAGAAAGUGAGUAAGCCAAGAAUGUUGGUGCAGAGAUCAAUAGCAGUAACGAGCCAGCAACAAGGCAGGCUGGUCAAGUGCAGGCAGGGUACAGACAGUAGUAGAAACAUCAACAAUAACAAUGAUAGAGUUUUAUGUUAAUGCGUGCAGUGGACUCAUGUCCCUUUGGUCAUGUUGACAUGGUGAUGAUAGUGUUACUUCGUUUGCAAAGCAGGACAGGUGUAAAUGAGUGUGCAGAGGUGGAGACUACACUGCUCGCUGGGGAGUCAUGAAAGAAGAAUUGUGGCCAGUCCUUCAUCUAAGUGGUAGAGCCUUCCAGAGGGGCUUCUUGACGAACUCCUGCUAGCUGUUCCUCCCAACGAAGUCAGAGUUGAGUGCUAUGGGGUAAGGAGAGUGCUACUCUGCAGGAAAACGAAUCGCCGCAGACCAGAGAUUGGACGUCUCCUGCAAGACUUGGAGAAUUUCGUCGAAAGCGAGUCCUGGUCAUAUUAGGAAGAUUGUACAUAAGAACAAGAGAACAUGUGUUGUUUCAAACAGUUAUUGUGAAUUUUAUGUAUUUGAUUUAAUUGUUAAUAAAUGUUACUCAAUCAGCA
This is an RNA transcript of Bacillus rossius redtenbacheri, 6460 nucleotides long. It is a transcript of the gene named ribitol 5-phosphate transferase FKRP, with no coding region annotated. NCBI's taxonomy places the organism in Eukaryota, Metazoa, Arthropoda, Insecta, Phasmatodea, Bacillidae. The transcript is spliced from 2 exons. The record is from RefSeq and is a predicted model, not a curated record.